RNAcentral lists this ribosomal RNA (375 nucleotides) under uncultured organism. RNAcentral describes it as "partial 16S ribosomal RNA". It matches the Rfam family "Bacterial small subunit ribosomal RNA", at positions 527 to 896 of the family's 1533-position model. The record is from RNAcentral.
GAGGGGUGCAAACGUUGUUCGGAAUUACUGGGCGUAAAGAGUACAUAGACGGCCUGAUAAGCUUGUCGUUAAAUUCUCCGGCUUAACCGGAGGCGAGCGGCGAGAACUGUUUGGCUAGAGGGUGGAAGAGAGAAGUGGAAUUCCCGGAGUAGCGGUGAAAUGCGUAGAUCUCGGGAGGAACACCGAUGGCGAAGGCAGCUUCUUGGUCCACACCAGACGUUGAGGUACGAGAGCGCGGGGAGCAAACAGGAUUAGAUACCCUGGUAGUCCGCGCCGUAAACGAUGACUACUGAACGUUGGGCAGGCAUUUAUGUCUGUUCAGUGUUGCAGCUAACGCGGUAAGUAGUCCGCCUGGGGAGUACGGUCGCAAGGCUA